This 406-nucleotide ribosomal RNA is filed under the name uncultured bacterium. RNAcentral describes it as "partial 16S ribosomal RNA". It matches the Rfam family "Bacterial small subunit ribosomal RNA", at positions 30 to 526 of the family's 1533-position model. The record is from RNAcentral.
AUUGAACGCUGGCGGCAGGCCUAACACAUGCAAGUCGAACGAGUGGCGGACGGGUGAGUCCUGUGUGGGAAAGUGCCCGAUGGAGGGGUAUAACUACUGGAAACGGUAGCUAAUACCGCAUACCCUCGGAUGUGCCCAGAUGGGAUUAGCUAGUAGGUGGGUUAACGGCUCACCUAGGCGACGAUCCCUAGCUGGUCUGAGAGGAUGACCAGCCACACUGGAACUGAUACACGUUCCAGACUCCUACGGGAGGCAGCAGUGGGGAAUAUUGCACAAUGGGCGCAAGCCUGAUGCAGCCAUGCCGCGUGUAUGAAGAAGGCCUUCGGGUUGUAAAGUACUUGCAGCGAGGAGGCGUUACUCGCAGAAGAAGCACCGGCUAACUCCGUGCCAGCAGCCGCGGUAAUAC